Molecule: ribosomal RNA, 580 nt
Filed under: Zecicindela helmsi
Lineage: Eukaryota; Metazoa; Arthropoda; Insecta; Coleoptera; Carabidae
Description: partial 16S ribosomal RNA
Rfam family: Bacterial large subunit ribosomal RNA
Source: RNAcentral
AUGGCCGCAGUAUUUUGACUGUGCAAAGGUAGCAUAAUUAUUAGUUUUUUAAUUGAAAGCUUGUAUGAAGGGUUGGACGAGAUAAAAUCUGUCUUUAUUUAAAUUAAAAUAGAAUUUAACUUUUAAGUCAAAAGGCUUAAAUGUUUAUAAAAGACGAGAAGACCCUAUAGAUCUUUAUUAAAUUUAAACUUUGAUAAUUUAAGAUUAUUUUAAUUUAAAGUUUUAAUUUAAUUUUAUUGGGGUAAUAUAAAGAUUAAAUAAAUUCUUUUUAUUAAUAACAUUAAUUUAUGUAUGUAUGAUCCAUUAUUAUUGAUUAUAAGAUUAAGUUACCUUAGGGAUAACAGCGUAAUUUUUUUGGAGAGCUCAUAUCGAUAAAAAAGUUUGCGACCUCGAUGUUGGAUUAAAAAUUAGCUUGGGUGCAGAAGCUCAAGAUUUUGGUCUGUUCGACCAUUAAAUUUUUACAUGAUCUGAGUUCAGACCGGCGUAAGCCAGGUCGGUUUCUAUCUUUAUUUAAAUAAAAUAUUUUAGUACGAAAGGACCAAGUAUUUAAUAUAAUUAUAUUUAUUUUUUGAAUAAUAUU